Cimex lectularius (bed bug) is the source of this 74-nucleotide non-coding RNA. Lineage: Eukaryota; Metazoa; Arthropoda; Insecta; Hemiptera; Cimicidae. The record is from the annotation of a RefSeq genome assembly.
GUCACGAUAGCUCAGAUGGUUAGAGCAUCGGCGUCUUGAGCCAAAGGUCGUGGGUUCGAAUUCCGCUCGUGACA